RNAcentral lists this unclassified non-coding RNA (512 nucleotides) under uncultured bacterium. RNAcentral's name for it is "partial contains 16S ribosomal RNA, 16S-23S ribosomal RNA intergenic spacer, and 23S ribosomal RNA". The stretch from base 381 to 512 matches the Rfam family "Bacterial large subunit ribosomal RNA", at positions 1 to 131 of the family's 2925-position model. The record is from RNAcentral.
UCUAAGGGCUGUAUUGUUCUAGCGGACAAUGGGCCACAGCGGGUGGCAAUCGAGUAGACGUUGAUGGGAUUGGGUUUCACGAUUCGGGGGUGAAGGUGCCCGGGGACUGUAGCUCAGCUGGUUAGAGCACUCGCCUGAUAAGCGAGAGGUCAGAGGUUCGAGUCCUCUCAGUCCCACAGUGGGGACAUAGCUCAGUUGGGAGAGCGUCGCCUUUGCACGGCGAAGGUCAGGGGUUCGAAUCCCCUUGUCUCCAAGGCACAUUAACAAGAGAAUACACAAGCGAGAAAAAGCGUAUCAACGAAUGGCACGUCAAGUUGAAGAUCGCCGGAUAAGCGGUCGGCCUCUCCGGAUCACGCCUGUGGAAGCAGGGGUGGCUGGUUGAGGAAGCAGAGAAGAGCAUACGGGGGAUGCCUAGGCAUCGUGUGCCGAAGAAGGACGUGGUACACUGCGAAAAGCUUCGGCGAGGGGUGUGCACCCGCAAGAGCCGGAGAUGUCCGAAUGGGGAAACCCGG